Molecule: ribosomal RNA, 468 nt
Filed under: uncultured bacterium
Lineage: Bacteria
Description: partial 16S ribosomal RNA
Rfam family: Bacterial small subunit ribosomal RNA
Source: RNAcentral
GACGAACGCUGGCGGCGUGCUUAACACAUGCAAGUCGAACGGAAAGGCCCUGCUUUUGUGGGGUGCUCGAGUGGCGAACGGGUGAGUAACACGUGAGUAACCUGCCCUUGACUUUGGGAUAACUUCAGGAAACUGGGGCUAAUACCGGAUAGGAGCUCCUGCUGCAUGGUGGGGGUUGGAAAGUUUCGGCGGUUGGGGAUGGACUCGCGGCUUAUCAGCUUGUUGGUGGGGUAGUGGCUUACCAAGGCUUUGACGGGUAGCCGGCCUGAGAGGGUGACCGGCCACAUUGGGACUGAGAGACGGACCAGACUCCUACGGGAGGCAGCAGUAGGGAAUAUUGCACAAUGGGCGGAAGCCUGAUGCAGCAACGCCGCGUGCGGGAUGACGGCCUUCGGGUUGUAAACCGCUUUCGCCUGUGACGAAGCGUGAGUGACGGUAAUGGGUAAAGAAGCACCGGCUAACUACGUG